Molecule: long non-coding RNA, 706 nt
Organism: Podarcis raffonei (Aeolian wall lizard)
Lineage: Eukaryota; Metazoa; Chordata; Lepidosauria; Squamata; Lacertidae
Exons: 4
Source: RefSeq, a predicted model, not a curated record
AUAAGAACCAAACAGGACAAAAUAAUCAUGAAGUACGCAUUCUUCUUUCCCUUCCCUAAUUUACAUUCUUCACAUUUCACACUGUUAACUGGGGUUGGUGUGGAUCUAUAUGCAUAAAUGCACGUGGUUUCAACAGAUAAUUUUGCAAGUUAAUGACAUUUUUAAACCUGUCAUCUCAGGGCAAAAUAUGCAGGUUGGCUUGGUGUAAAAGAAUUCUCCUCUCGCAUCCCUUUUGCAUUCAGGCCAAUGAGGAAAGCUUCUGGUCUGAUUGACAAUCAAGUGAAGCAUUGAAGAGUCCUCCUCUCCAAUUGAAAGGCCUAUAAAGGGGAGGAGUUUCCUGCUUCCUAUUUUCUUCCUAAUGAUAUUACUGUUGUUGGCCAGAAUCUAAUCACCUCACAUGGAGGUCACAGCCUUUCAUUAGUACACUGGGAAGUGUUAAUGAAGGAAACACAGAAGAUGUUUUGGAGUGUUUGCACAAGACCCAGUUGAGAGAAAACAGCUGAAAACUACCAGAGGGCCCUUUGGCUAGCUUGAGGAAGGUGCAGACUCUGCAUUCACAGAGGGUGCCCCAAUAACUCACUGAGGCAAGGAAGAACAAGGUGCAUAUUCCUUGCCAUUCCAGGAAGAAGCAAGCAGAUUAUUGCAGAAAAACAAUGCCUUCGUAGAGCUGGAGUGGAAGCAACACAUGAGAAGAGAGCAGUCAAGG